UACGUGGGGGGCUAGCGUUGUCCGGAAUUAUUGGGCGUAAAGAGCUCGUAGGCGGUCCGUCGCGUCGAAUGUGAAAACCCGGGGCUCAACCCCGGGCCUGCAUUCGAUACGGGCGGACUAGAGUUCGGUAGGGGAGACUGGAAUUCCUGGUGUAGCGGUGAAAUGCGCAGAUAUCAGGAGGAACACCGGUGGCGAAGGCGGGUCUCUGGGCCGAUACUGACGCUGAGGAGCGAAAGCGUGGGGAGCAAACAGG
Molecule: ribosomal RNA, 253 nt
Filed under: uncultured bacterium
Lineage: Bacteria
Description: partial 16S ribosomal RNA
Rfam family: Bacterial small subunit ribosomal RNA
Source: RNAcentral